Molecule: ribosomal RNA, 460 nt
Filed under: uncultured bacterium
Lineage: Bacteria
Description: partial 16S ribosomal RNA
Rfam family: Bacterial small subunit ribosomal RNA
Source: RNAcentral
CCUACGGGAGGCAGCAGUGAGGAAUAUUGGUCAAUGGACGAGAGUCUGAACCAGCCAAGUAGCGUGAAGGAUGACUGCCCUAUGGGUUGUAAACUUCUUUUAUAUGGGAAUAAAAUGUUCCACGUGUGGGCUUUUGUAUGUACCAUAUGAAUAAGGAUCGGCUAACUCCGUGCCAGCAGCCGCGGUAAUACGGAGGAUCCGAGCGUUAUCCGGAUUUAUUGGGUUUAAAGGGAGCGUAGGGGGAUUGUUAAGUCAGUUGUGAAAGUUUGCGGCUCAACCGUAAAAUUGCAGUUGAAACUGGCAGUCUUGAGUACAGGAGAGGUGGGCGGAAUUCGUGGUGUAGCGGUGAAAUGCUUAGAUAUCACGAAGAACUCCGAUUGCGAAGGCAGCUCACUGGACUGAAACUGACACUGAGGCUCGAAAGUGUGGGUAUCAAACAGGAUUAGAUACCCCAGUAGUC